This 245-nucleotide unclassified non-coding RNA is filed under the name Myriangiales sp. RNAcentral's name for it is "partial contains small subunit ribosomal RNA, internal transcribed spacer 1, and 5.8S ribosomal RNA". The stretch from base 1 to 46 matches the Rfam family "Eukaryotic small subunit ribosomal RNA", at positions 1786 to 1831 of the family's 1831-position model. The record is from RNAcentral. Lineage: Eukaryota; Fungi; Ascomycota; Dothideomycetes; Myriangiales.
AAGUCGUAACAAGGUUUCCGUAGGUGAACCUGCGGAAGGAUCAUUACCGAGAUAGGGUCCUUAGGGCCCGACCUCCAUCCCUUUGUAUACAAACCACUGUUGCCUCGGCGUCCCGUCAAACUUGUUUGCCAUCGGCUUACCUAGGCCUUUGUGCGCUCGCCGAUGGAUCUACCAAACCCUUCGAAUCAGCAGUCUGAGUGAGAAUUAAUACUUCAAAACUUUCAACAACGGAUCUCUUGGUUCUG